This 494-nucleotide ribosomal RNA is filed under the name uncultured bacterium. RNAcentral's name for it is "partial 16S ribosomal RNA". It matches the Rfam family "Bacterial small subunit ribosomal RNA", at positions 28 to 506 of the family's 1533-position model. The record is from RNAcentral.
GAUGAACGCUGGCGGCGUGCCUAAUACAUGCAAGUAGAACGCUGAAGGAGGAGCUUGCUCUUCUGGAUGAGUUGCGAACGGGUGAGUAACGCGUAGGUAACCUGCCUGGUAGCGGGGGAUAACUAUUGGAAACGAUAGCUAAUACCGCAUGACAACAGUUAUUGCAUGAUAACUGUUUAAAAGGGGCAACUGCUCCACUACCAGAUGGACCUGCGUUGUAUUAGCUAGUUGGUGAGGUAACGGCUCACCAAGGCGACGAUACAUAGCCGACCUGAGAGGGUGAUCGGCCACCCUGGGACUGAGAACCGGCCCAGACCCCUACGGGAGGCAGCAGGAGGGAAUUUUCGGCAAUGGACGGAAGUCUGACCGAGAAACCCCGGGGGGGUGAAGAAGGUUUUCGGAUCGUAAAGCUUUUUUGUAAGAGAAGAACGGGUGGGAGGGUGGAAAGUUCACCCUGUGACGGUAUUUUACCAAAAAGGGACGGCUAACUACGU